Molecule: long non-coding RNA, 9264 nt
Filed under: Gossypium barbadense (sea-island cotton)
Lineage: Eukaryota; Viridiplantae; Streptophyta; Magnoliopsida; Malvales; Malvaceae
Description: long non-coding RNA (GBAR_LNC020163)
Source: RNAcentral
UGCGGCCCACACCAAUUUGACAGCCCAUCAUUCGGCCGCCCAUUUCAACCAUCAUUCGACCGCCCAUUCCAAGCCCACUGCUGACCAUAAUCUAAAGUUAAACCGUCAGCAUACCAAUUUUGACUUCAAUUUUUUACUAGCCCCAUACGGAAUCUGACCAUGAGUAGAAACCCUAGGACGAGUGUUUUAUUGUGAAAGCCAACCAUGAGGGCCAGAAUCAUCUGGAUUCGACAUCGGAAACCUUGCUGGAGAAGCGUCAUCGCAAUGGUACCGGUAGUAGCAGCGUUGGGUGACGUGACCAAACCUAGAACAGAUCUGGCACUAGAGGCGAGUCCGAAAGCUCCUACCGCGACCGCUAGAGAUAGAACGACCACCACACGUAGAACCAUCCAUGGCCGUCGUCGAAGAAUCUUCCACCAGAUUCCCGACAUAAACUACCUCCUGAAUCGCUUGUACUUGCCGACUCUCGCACUCGACUAGAGCGUCCACCAGACAUUGAAACAGCAGAGGAGUCAGAGAUAGCGAGACAGAGGACACCACAGUUUCAAAUUCAGCGGAGAGAUCCGCAAGCAACACCGUCGUUUGCUCCGUCGCCAGGAUGGGGGAUCCAGACGCGUCCAAGAAAGCACAGAUCCCUUUCAACUUUGCAACGUAAUCACGGAUCAACAAACUCCCUUUCUUGAGAAAAUGCAGUUCAUGACGCAAACGCGAUUGUUUCAGAUCCGUAUCGGCCGUAAACAUUGCCAACGUCGUCAUUCACACAUCAGAGGCCGAUUUGACAUCCAAAAAUGAAGAUAAAAUUGACAAAUUUAUGGUGGAGAGAAGCCACGACGUGAGUAGAUUAUCCUGCUGUUGAAAUGCUGACACCGCCGGAUUAAGAACAAGUGCACCAUCCGGCGCUUGUAUAAACCUCGACGGAGCAGAGAUAGAACUGUCAAGAAAACCAAAUAAGUCAUAACCAUUGACAAUAAACUGAACAUGUUGCUUCCAUUGAAGGAAUGUUCCUUCAUCGAGCUUUACAACCUCAUGCUGAGGAAAAGAAUGAACCACACGAUCAGCAGCAAAGACAGAGCCAUGCGGUUCAGCAGAGUCUGAGGCAGCAGAAUUUGUAGUAGCCAUGAAAGGGGAUCACCGAGCGACUGAUACCAUGAAGAAAUAUAGGUAAAAUGAAGAAUUAUAGGUAAACUCCUUGAAUCUUGAAAUGAACUGAGACUAGCUUGUGUUUACAAUUUUAAAUCUAGUGUUGAAAAUCUGUCUAAUACAAUGUCCACACAGUUUAUAUAUAGUCAUUAGAGUAACUGCUUCCCUUAACAGCUAGCUAGCAACUUAGAUCUCCUAACCACCUUUUAACUGACUCAUAUUAUCUUUAACCCAGUAGAAACCCGUAAAACGAAUGGGGUUGUUAUUCUCCAAGUGAAUCAGAGAAUCAAUAUCUUUGCUAGAAUAAUUUUUUAUUUCAACCUUAGUACUCUCUUUCAACAUCAUAACGAGGCCACCACUUUUCCCAAUAGUGUUAACAGCCUAACACCCUUCCAUCCUGCACUUACUGCGAAUAGAUGAAAAUUUAUUAGCAUGAAUUUUUGUUUCACAUAAGAAAAUUAUCUCAGGGUCGUUUGCAACAAAAAGUUGCUUUAAUUCACGAAUUGUCGCAGAGUUUCUGAUCCCACGACAAUUCCAGCAAAGGAUCUUCAUUGCUCUUGGCGGGGCUGAUCGCCAGCCGCUGCCUUGCAUGGUGAAAGAUUAUCCAGCAGAACCCUUUAUCUCUUUCUUUUGCUUUUUAGCCAUUCCAGUCCAUCACUCAUAGAUUUAUUAUUUCUUUUUUCCAUUGGAGAAUUAGAUAUUGAUUGCUCUUCACAUCCUUUCUUUUUUUUUUUCUUUCUGUAGGAGUUGCCCACUAUCAUCCCUUGUGUCUGUUUUGCUCUCCUCUUUUGUCUUCAUUCGAUAGAAUUUUUGUUGCCACAAUUUCAACUCCUUUUCGCCAAAUGCCAGUCUUGAUUCGGAACCACUAUAUUUAUAUAUUAAGAUUUUAAAAUUUUAGGAAUUUAAAGAAUACAUAUCAAUAUUUAUCUUUGAAAUGUGGGUUAUGAUUACCUGUAAUAUUAUCACAACUUAAAAAAAAUAGUUGCUAUGAUUUUUCAGUAACAAUACUAAUAUAUUAUAAUCGUAAUCAUCAUCGUCUACCACCUUUUAUAAAUGUUGUGUAAUAAAUGAAUGAUAAGCUUGAAAUAAGAAAAGUGAAAAAAUAUUUUUCAAAAAUUUAGAAUUUUUUUAAGAAUUAUAUAUAGGCAUUUUUAAAUUUUUUUUCCGAAUUUUUAAAACUUUUUAUUAUUAUAUUUUAAAAAAAUACUUUAUAUUUUUUUUAAAAAAAAAUAAUGAAGUUUAUUUUUUAAAAUUUUUUAUGAUAUUUUAGAUUUUUUAUAAUUAUAAUUAAAAAAUUAUAAAAAUAUCAAAGUGAUAUUUUAACUAAUUCAGAGAUCAGAUUAUAUAUUAACCCUUGAGUUAAUGUAUCAUAUCAUCAUUCUGUUAAAGGCGUUAGCUAAAGGGCAAAUAAUUAAAAUGCUACAAAAUAAUAAUGUGAGUGAUCAAAUUGUAAUAUUUAAUAGUUGAAUCAAAACAUAAAAUUUAAUUAUAAUUCAAUUAUAAUUCAUAUAAUUUACCUUUCCUAUUCCAUAAUACCAAGUCAUAAUCUUAGUAUUAAAAUAAGAACUCUUCUAAUAGAAAACAAACUCUGGUGGAAGAAGGCAUAGAACAUGAGUCGAUUGAAACACCGAUGAGACUUAUCAGAAACAUCGAAUCUCAGCAUCAUAAGAAUUUUUGCUUUUUGGGUUAAAAAAAAGGAAUAUGUAUUAUUGAACUCCACAUGAAUGCUUUCAAUAAUUUUAAAGAUUCUAAAUUAAAAUUUUCACCACAACCUUGUUGCUGUGUACCCAUCAAGAACAAAGAAAUACGUGAAAGAAAUUUUCAAUGGAAUCCUUGGACCUCCUUUUAAUAUUCCGCACGAAAUUGAAAGCAUAUAUAUACGAGAUUUUCUGCCAUAAAUUCGUAUUUGAACUUUAUUUUCAUUUAUCUCUAGAAUUUUAUGUGAGAAAGAUUAUUAAUUUAUUUAGGGUAAAUUACAUCGCAAGUCGCUUUAAAAUAGUAUCGUUUUUAUUUUGGUUAGUUUAAUUUUUUUUAUCAAUUUAGUCAUUCUGACUAAUAUAGUUGCUCAUAUCAGUCACUAUCAUUAAAAAUUCCGUUAACCCACUAACGAAUUGUUGAUGUGGCUUUUUCUUCUUCUUUUUUUACAUUUGACUAAAGUUAGGAACCUCUCUAGUCCAAAACACUCCUUUUUUGGUUUAUUUGCAACAUAAGAACCACCAAUCAUCAUCGCCGCCCAACACCCACCACCAGCUCUAUCUCUAUCUCUAUCUCACUUCACUCCGCCGCCCCCAUCUCUUCCACCUAAAAUGAUUUUACCUUUAUUUUCUAUUUGCUUAUGUAUACUCUAAAGUUAAAACUCUUUAGGGUGUGAUGCCAAAUCUCAGAAUUCAACUCAAUGCGGUCUCUGUUGUUAAUCUUGUUAUGUUAGUGGGCAUUGUUGUUGAGUUCUGCAUGCAUAUAACACAUGCAUUUUCAGUUAAUAUCAUUCAACUUACGAGUUCCUUUUGCAUGUAGCAACUAGAAUAGAAAUGAAAGGGUAAAGGUGUAACACCCCAUGCCCGACCUGGUCUCCAGGUCCGAGCUACAGGGUGUCACAUUCAUUGCCUGAGCAACUACGAAUAAAUUCAAUUCAAUACAACCAUGAAUAUAUGAUAAUAUAUAUUAGCCCUUUAAAAUAUAUUAUACAAUCAUUUUCGAGUCUUAUAUGAGCUUAUGAAAUCUCUUUUUCCAACUCGAGAUCAAAAUAAGACCAAACUAUAAAGUUUGCAAAUUAUCUGGUUGGCAUUGAGACUUCGAGGAUUCCUCAUCGUAACGCAACUUAUUGACGUGAUCUCGUUGUUACUUUAAGGGCAUGACGUCGCGACAUGACCAUCAGUUUGUAAAUAGUCCAAGUGGUACCUAAUCAAAACAAUCAUUCAAUUUAACAUGCAUACAAAAUCAACCACUUAAGUAUUCUAACCAUUUCCAUUUGCUAAAUUUCAUCCUUUUGCAUCAUAAUUACCUAUACAUUACACAUUCAACAUGUGAAACUUUCAUCAUUUCAACCAUCUAGCCAUUUCAGUAACAUUUCUAUUUCUACCUAUGUCAUACCAUCAUCCAUAUACAUUUACAUAUAUAUAUAUAUCAAUUUGGUGCUCAAUUUUAUUUUACCAUUUCUAUUACUUUCGAUAUAACUGUUCAAUUUUCCAGUGGUGUCGGAAAUAGUGGUUUUAGGAUCACAAUUCCGACGAAUGAGUACUACAAGUCAAAUAUAGUGUUAUAUUGAAUUUUGGUCUGAUAAAGUUUAGUGGUUGGAUGAUUAGUUAAGGUACAAGGUCUAAAUCGUAAAAGUUAAUCAUUGUUGAUUUUUAUUAGUUCAAAUGCUAAAAAGGUACAUGAUUGAGGUUUUAUGUGGAAAAUUGACCAUUUUAAAGUUAGUGGGACAGUUAGUGCAUAUUAAUAAUGAUUUAUGUGUUAAAAUAAAAGUUAAAAAUAUAAUAAAACAUUAACCAAAAGCCAUCAUCUUUCUAUUUUCCAUCUUCUACCGAUUCUUCACCAUUGUUAAGAGAAGGAAAAAGCUUCAAACUCCCUUGAAUAAUCGUCUUUGCAUGGUGAGCCCUCCUAAGUCUAUUUUUCGUAAUUUUUAUGUUUCUGAUAUCGUUAUAACUCGAUUUAGCUAAAUUUUACCUCUGUUUUCAAAACUGUUAAAGUUUUUAACUAUUUAUAUUUAUGGUUUUUUUAUGUUUUUGAUGUUAAACAACUUGUUUGUAAGCUUAGAUUUGAUUAUGGACUAGAUUGUAAAGAGAAAUUUGUUAGUAUUGAGUUUAGAGACUAAAAUGUAAAAAUGUUAAAUUUUAUAUGAAAUUUUUGUAAUUAUAGUUUCUAGUGGGUUAUAGAAGGGUGAAAUUGAAAUCAGAUUGAAAAUUAGGGAUUAAAUGUGAAAGAUAUGAUAGUUUCGAUUUUAGGGACUAAAUUAAAUAAAAAUGUGAAACUUUAGGUAAAUUGUGUAAAAUGAAAUUAAGUUGUUAUAUGCAUAUAAUAAGAAGUUUUAAGGUAAUUGGCACUGAUAAUUUCAAAUGAAUUACCAUAUAGAUCAAGAUUUGAGCCAACCGAUAGAUAACCAAAGAAAAGGGAAAAUUACAUAUUAAUCCCUAACACUUCUAUUUUUUGUUGCACCUAGUAAGUUCAUAUGGUGUAGUUAUAUUCAUAUAUGUUAUGUUUGUGAUUUAAUCUUGAAUUUAUAACAUUUGAUUGUACUUUACAAUGUUUACAAUUUAGUACGAAAGGUGAGAAAUGGAUUAAGGACUUAAUUGUAAAGUUUUGCAUACUUGAUGACUAUAGUUCAUUUGGAAUGUUGAAUGAUAUGACAUGGUUACGAUAUAUGUUCUGAUUCAUGGAAAGCCUUUGGCAAUGUAAAUAAUCUGAAUUUUGUAUAAAUGCCCGUUUGAACUUAAUAAAUGAUUAGGAUACGAUUGACAUGCCAAUAAGAUUAGUUGCGCACUUGUACAGGUUUCGCACUUCAGUGCCUGCUGCUCUAAACUUCGGAGCCUAUUGAUUUGUACUUCGGUGCCUUGAAGCACCUUUUUUUUUACCCAAUCGCCAAGUCUGAGCAACGAAUACGAAAACAAUCUGAAUAACUUAACACAUAUAUAUUCUAAUCUAAAUACAUCUAUAGACAACUUGGGCCUUCAAAUUACUCCUUGAAAUCUAUAGACACAACGUAUUAGUUCCAAUUUCUUACAAUUUGACACUUUUAAUGAUCUAACAGUUAUUUCUAAUUUACAAUUCGACCCGUUUAGACUCAGUCAACUUCAACCCUGAGGCAUGGCCUCUGUGGGUGCCCCUCUAUAUACAUGAACAACUACCACGCACCAUGUAACUCCGGAGGAGUCUGGCUUGGUCCCUCUUGAUUUGUUUUUCUAAAUCUUUAUCUAACAUGCAUUCAAGCAGCAAUUUUAUAAACUCAGAAGAACUUAGUGAGAUCUAUACAUUGCAUGUAAGAUUUCAUAAAUUUUAAGAAAUUCAGAUUUCUGGUUCAAAAUUAAACUUCCUAGACUUCAUAGGAGAUUACGUGAGCUGAAUUGGCAAGGUCCAUGCAUUAUACUCUCUGAGUCAUUUAUUGAAAGACUUAAACCCUAGUUUGAUCCCAACCAUGUCCCCUUAUGGGUCUCACCCCAUCCCCAUCUCUCAUUAUUCUACAAUCCUGAUACUCGUAUUCAUUAUUUCUAGCUGGCGACAGUUGGCGACUACCCAAGUAAUUACCAUAACUGCGGUCUUUACCAAAAUAUGAUAUCCUCACUACCUUAGAAAACUAGUGCCCACAAUGCAGUACCAUAAUACCUACCUUUUCAGCCCAUUCCUUUAAAAUGCUCCAAUAGACAUAUGGUAUCAACGUACUAUUUCCUUCUCAAAUGUUUUGUGAAGGUUUCCACCCUUAGUAGAUCGACAAGACUUUUACCUUGUUUCAUGGUCCUGAUGGGCCUUCACUUUUCACAUGCUCUAGCGGACUUUAUUGAACAUUUAGCCUUGAGUUGGCUUUUCCUCUCAUAAAGAAUCUUAUCUGUCUACCCAAUCUUUCAGCUACUGCUUGUCGACUUACAAUUUAAGACUGAUCUUAUUAUAGCCUAUUAUGUAUCUGCUUAAACAAUAUGGGAUCCGCGGUUUUCCUAGCGGACUCUUUUUUAUGUACGCUACGUUUACCUCCUUAUCUAAGGAAUCUCUUCCUCCUUUCACCCUAACUAGGUUGUGACACUUCCUUGGCUCCACCCAUUAUCGCCAUUGGCGAAUUCUCUCAUUAUCUCGAUGAUCUAUGUUCCCCAAAUGAACUAAGUUUAUUCAUUCUUGUGACUUAUCACACUCAUCACAUAGUGAACCCUAUUUUAUACCUUGGCAUGUCUCCUGGUAUACCUUUUUGCGAACAUCACACGAGUAACCCCAUGUUUUACAUCCUGGUGGACUUUCCCGUGCUUAUUGUCCCGGCAGGCAACCCAAUGUUUAGUUUUCUGGAGAACCCUCUAUGUUGCCAUGGCCAAGCCAUGGUCUUAGACAUUAUUCCCCAUGUUUAAUGCCUUGGCAGACUCCAUUGGUUUCCAUAGCCGAGCUAUGGUCUUACACCUUAAACCUCUUUGAGGAGUCACCACGAAGGACAUUACUUUCGUCAUAGUGUUGCCCCAUAGAGCCUGCUGACCACCGUCGUGGUAUUGCUCUAUAGAACCUAAUAAUCGUCAUCACAAUGUCACCACGAAGGACUAGUCAAUAUCAUUUCACUUAACAAUUAAUUUUGAUGCUUGAACAUCGCAGUUUCACACAUCACGAUUUGCACCCAGCAACAAAAUAUGGUGAAAUCUUAAUGGAAUUUCAUUUCCCUAUCCAUCCUCACAUUCUUCCAUUUCAUCACUUUUAACCUUGAUGCUCGAACACCAUAGUGUCCCCUUCACAUGGCCCGAAGCUUAGCUCAUCAUAGUUUGUGCCUAGCAACAUUGUAUAAUAGUAUACAGAAACACUAUUUCCCAAAUCCUAACUCCAUCUAACCAGUCAAUAAUUUCCCUUUGCACUAUGCAUAAUUACCCAAUCAUAUCAUACAAUUUUAUCAUUAUACAUACAUCAUGCCAGUUUACCUAUCAUCAACUAUCAACCAUAAAACAACCAACAGACAACUGGAAAGAGCUCACAUAGUAUUGUGCACAAACACAACCUACCCUUUCUUCAAGCACACACACACCAUAAACUUAGGCAACUCCAUACAUAAUCAACAACACAUAUGCAAAGCACAUGACAUCAUCUGUCAUCCAGAAGGUAAGGUAUAGAGACUCACCUGGAUUCCUUUAUCCUUAUCAGCUUAGCUUGUCCAAGCAUCAGAGCCUUCUCUAUCUUGGUAGUUAAGCAUGACAAUCAUUUAUCAGUUAACUCAAAGGCAUUCAAACCUUAAAACCCAGAAUUCAUAAUUAUUCAGAAGCUUUUAAAAUUUCUUACUCUACUUAUUUCUUUAAUCCACAAGUACAGAGAGGUAAGGAAGCUUAGCAGUUCAUCAACUUCUCUACUACCAGACUUCAAUUCAUAUAUUGCUAUGACAUGCAGAACUUCCUUUAACUAUAUCCUCUUCUUCUUCAAAGUGACUAAAGAAGAUGAUGCUAUGGAGAGAUAAAUUUGUAAACAGAAUUGAGAAAAUUUUGUCUCCACACACACCUAUAUAUAUACACUUUUAGCACGAUCUUCACUGACCAUCUCUACCAUUCAUCCCUAAUCAUUUUGUCUCCCACUAUGGAACCAGUUAGUUAUAUCCUAACCAAACCAGAAUUGAGAUCCAACUAAUCACAAUUCGACCACUAAAAUUUUUGAAUUUCCCAGUGGAGUCCAAAAAUUUCCUAAUCCUUUCAAUUUAAUCCUAAUUUUCCUUAGAUUUCAAGUCAAUAAAGAUAAUCAGGUGUCAUAUGCCUACUGCUCUGCACUUCGGUGCUUACUGUUAAAGUACUACAGUGCCUACUGGUGUCGUAUAGUUACCCGUGUAUCCAUAUUUGUUCAUUAUAGUUCAUCACGCUAAUCAAUUAUUGAAAUAUGGAAAUGACAGAAUGAUUAUAUGUGUUUAAUUGGAAAUGUUAUAUGUUGUUAGAAUGAUGAAAAUAAGACAUAAUCAAUAAUUAUGAUUAAAUGAAACUGAACUAAAUUGAUAUGUUAUAUGAUGAUUGAAUAAUGUAACUAUAGUAUAUAACAAUUCGACAAUAUUGAUCAAACGACAUUGAAUUGAAGUACAUGGUUUUAUCGUAGAAAUGAUGAUUGAAUGUGAUAUACUCACCUUGUAUUUGUGAAAUGUUGUAAUAGGAAAGUUGUAUAGUUAGCUAGUUCGUUAUGUUAAUUAUGAUUUAAUGUGAGUUUAUUGUUUUAGUUCUUAUGGACUUGCUAAGCAUACUUAAUGCUUACUUUGUUUCUUUUUUUUUUGUUUCUAUAGUUGUCUUUUGCGAAACUCGGCGAUCAAAUCAUCCCUAAGCUCACACUAUCUAGCUGUUGUCUCGGUAGACUUUUUAAUUGUUCUAGACUCAAUUAUGUGGCAUGUAUAUAGGUUAAAUAAGUAUAACUGUUAUUUUGAAAUGAAGACGUUGAUGGUAUAGUUGAAAGGUGUGAAAUUGAAAAUUUUGAGAUGUGAAUAUG